Long non-coding RNA from Zonotrichia leucophrys gambelii, 17179 nucleotides. RefSeq lists it as uncharacterized. The transcript has 2 exons. The record is from RefSeq and is a predicted model, not a curated record. NCBI's taxonomy places the organism in Eukaryota, Metazoa, Chordata, Aves, Passeriformes, Passerellidae.
UUCAGGAGAGAUCGCGCACUGGGGUUGGUGGGCGGGAGCAGCGCGGGGUUCCCUCUGUCACGUGAGGGCCGGAGCGAUGGCGGCGGCGUCUGGUGAGAGGGGACAAGGAGCGGGAAUGGAGACCGGGACUGGGAAUGGGGCAGGAAAUACGGGACUGGCAUUGGCAAUACGGACACGAGCCGGGGCCGGGAUUGCGACUGGGAAUGGGAACACGGACCUGGAGUCCGGAACCGGGAAUGGGACUGGAAAUACGGGAAAGGGACCGGGUACGGGACCGGGAUGGGAACCGGUCAAGAGGGACACGGGCAAUGGUAAUACCCGGAAGCGGGCGGGAGCGGGGUGAUACUGGGGCGAGGAGCGGCCGGGAACAGCAGCGACACUCGGGUGGGGGGACACCGAGGCCCGGGCCGGGGGAAUUAACGGCUCCAGGGGACGCUGUGCACCUGCCCUGUGGGCAGAGGGGACGGCGAGCGGAGGAGACACCAGAACAGGGUGGGGGGACACGGGGACGAGGGGGACACCGGGGACAGGGAGUCCUGACCGGGGGUUUAACGGAGGCAGGGGACACUGUGGACUUGGCGGUGGGGACACCGGAAGAGAGGAGUGGCACCGGACCGAGGGGGACACAGACCGGGGAGUGACACCGGGACAGGGGUGAUCCCAGGACACGGGAUGACACCGAACAGCGGGGACAUGGACCAGGGGGUGACACUGAGCAGGGGGGACACCAGACUGAGGUGACACCGGCGAGUGUCCCCAGAGACCAAGCGGCUGCUGAGCUGCGGCCCCAGGUACAGCACAUCCGAGACAGCUUUGGUCCCAGUAGACAGCGAGCUGGGACAGUGGGGAUGGCAGGUGGGGACAUUGGGGACAGUAGCACGAGGGACUGGGAUACCAGGGAGGGAGCAUGGGGACAUGGGGACGCUUUGAAAGGGAUGCUGGGGUGUCCUGGGACAAAGCAUGGCAGCAUCACCAUGGUGAGAAAGGAGCUGAUGGGAGUGGUGGCCUUUGUCCCAAACCAUAGGGUGACACUGCUUUGGGGUGAAAUAUGAUGGUGUUGCCAGGAUGGGACAGGGCUUGACCAUGGAGGACUUUGUUCCCAAGCAUGGGGUGUCACUGUUUUGCGACAAAACUCACCUUUGUCACCAUGACAGGACAUGUGGUGACAGAGGUGGUGGCCUUUGUCCCCCAGCUGAUCCUGUUCAGGCUCAGCAACCAGCUGGUGCUGGCCUUCAAGCACCUGUUGGGCUACAAAGAAGGCAGCAAUGACACCCAGGCCAUCUACACCAUCUACACCCAGGCCAUCUACAGGAACCUCCUGAAGCACCUGGCCUUUGUCCUCAAGAAGGUGGCAUGGGGAUACUGGGAGGGGUUGGGGACAUCGGGGAAGUUGGGGGCAUUGUGGGGCUUGAGGACAAGGGGGCCUCCUGGUGCAUGUGGUCUACCCCCUUUAGAAGGUGGCACGGGGACACCAGGCAGGGCUGAGGACAACAGGAGAGGCUGGGGACAUCAGGACCUCCUGGAGCACCCUGCAUAUUCCCUCAGGAAGGUGCCAUGGGGACACUGGGAUGGGUUGCGGACACAGUGGUGGUUUGGGGACAUGGACAUUCUCAGGGCGAUGGAGGGGAUGUGGGGACACUGAGGUACCACAGGGCCGCCUCCAGCCCCAUGUCCCUGUCCCCACAGUACCUGUCUGUGUCCAACAAGGCCCUUGGCCACUACGUUUUUGCUCACUUCUAUGUGGUCAGCACACUGUGUCAGAAUUAUAGGGGUCUCAGUCCUUGGCAGAGGGGCUUCAGUCUCUGUUCGUCAUGGUGGUAGUAAAACAGACAAAAGAUUUUCCAUGGGGAGGACCACCAAAGUUGCUCCAGCAAGUUCAUUGGGCCAAGAGGUGGGAAAAUUCCUGGGCUGUUGUCGCAAAGCAGGUGCAAGCACACAGGCCCAUCACCCCCUUAACCAGGCCCUGUUAAAAACAGUGUACCAUGGCGGCAAAUACCCCUGCAAACAAUCACUUGGCAGGCCAGAACUCUGCUCAAGGGCUUGGUGUGCAUCCUCCUCAAGCAGGUCAAAAUUCCAAUCAGGGUCCUCAGGUCUAAGAGCUGAAAUGAGGGAUGUGGGACUCCAGGCGGCUCUUCAAAAUGCAGUUUAUUAUAUCUAAGAUGUUACAGCAGUCCAGGGUCGUGGGCGACAUAGCCCAUGCCUACAGCUGUCAGCUCCAGCUGCAGGCAGGCCUGGACACCCUUUGGUUUUGGUUACAUUGCAUUAUAUACUUUGCUGAGCAUCUUACUACAGUAGAACCAACCUAUACCUUAACUAUUAUCUAUAGCUUAUCAUUGCUAUAAUUACCAUAUUCGUGUUAGUAUUCUCCAAUCACUAAAAGUUAGUACAUUACAGUUUAAGCUAGAAGUUGUUUUUCAGUUUUCUUGCAGUGGAAAAUCUGGAGACCUUUUUUCUACUUGCAACAUCAGCAGGCUUGUUUGCCUGUGCUAUCUUUCUGCUUGGUAAAAACAUCUGCUUGUUUGAGGUGGGUUUAUCCUUUGCUCUAAGUCAUAAAAACCCCCUUCUCACUAACAUACCCUUUGCCAUCUUAGUUAUCCAGUAAGACUGACUCAGCAAUUCUUUUCUUCUACAUCAAAACUUGCUUCCAUCUCCAUUCCUUCAUCAGACUCUACAUUUAAAAAUCUUUCUGCUAAGCAUACAUAUCUGUGAGACUUUCUUGCCAAACUUUCAUCCUUCCCAACACCAUAGGGGCUUGGCCUGCUUGAUGGCAGCACACAUCUCGCAGUCGUGGAUAACCUGAGAAAUACUGUCCAUGGUUAAAUCCACUCCUUGGUCUCAUGCCCACUUACAGAUGGCAUCUCUGCCCUGAUGGCCUGAGGCAUCAUGGGCCCAUCCAGCUAGGAAUAACUCUCCCUUGUGUUCCCAAUUUAAGUCUAUCUUGGAUACCUCUAUCUUUGCAGCCUGGUCUGCCUGCUCAUUGUUUCAGUGUUCCUCAUUAGCUCUACUCUUGGGUACGUGGGCAUCUACAUGGCGGACUUUCACAGGUAGCCUCCCUACCCUGGUAGCAAUGUCUUUCCACUCACCAGCAGCCCAAAUUGGUUUCCCUCUACGUUGCCAGUUAGCCUUUUUCCACCUCUCCAGCCAUCCCCACAGAGCAUUGGCUACCAUCCAUGAAUCAGCGUAGAGGUAGAGCUUUGGCCACUUCUCUCUCUCAGCAAUGUCUAGGGCCAGUUGAACAGCCUUGAGUUCAGCAAGUUGGCUUGAUCCACCUUCUCCUUCGGUAGCUUGUGCAAUUUGUCAUGUGGGGCUCCAUACGGCUGCUUUCCAAAUCCAAUUCAUCCCUAUGAUGUGAGAGGAACCGUCAGUGAAAAGAGUGUAUUGUGUUUCCUCUGGUGGUGGUUGGUUGUAUGGUGGAGCUUCUUCAGCCCUUGUAACUUGUUCCUGCUCCUCUUCAUCAGCAAGACCAAAGUUUUCACCUUCCAGCCAGUUUGUAAUUAUCCCCAAAAUCCCAGGGUGAUUCAGGUUUCCUAUAUGGGCACGCUGUGUGAUAAGAGCAAUCCAUUUCCUCCAUAUAGCGUCAGUGGCGGGGUGGGUGGUGGGAACCUUUCCUUUAAACAUCCACCCCAGCACCGGUAGUUGGGGUGCCAGGAGGAGUUGUGCUUCUGGGCCAGUCACCUCUGAGGCAGCCUGGACUCCUUCAUAGGCAGCCAAGAUUUCCUUCUCUGUGGGAGUGUAGAUGGCUGUGGACCCUCUGUAACUUCAGCUCCAGAAUCCCAGUGGUCGACCCCGAGUCUCCCCAGGCGCCUUCUGCCAAAGGCACCAGGACAAGCCAUUGUACCCAGCUGCAGAGCAAAGAGCAUUCCUUACAUCUGGUCCGGUCCUAAAUGGGCUAAGGGCUACCACAUGAGCAAUCCCCUGCUUAAUCUUGGUAAAAGCUUGUUGCUGCUUUGGGCCCCAGUGGAAAGUGUUCUUCUUGCGAGUGACCAGGUAGAGAGGGCUCACGAUCUGACUGUACUCAGGAAUGUGCAUUCUCCAAAAGCCUAUGGUGCCUAGGAAAGCGAGUGUUUCCCUCUUGCUGGUUGGUGGAGACAUCAUGGUGAUCUUACUGAUGAUCUGAGUGGGAAUCUGAUGCCGUCCAUCUUGCCACUUCACUCCCAGGAACUGGAUCUCUCAGGCAGGUCCCUUGACUUUGCUCUUCUUGAUGGCAAAGCUGGCCUCCAGUAGAUUCUGGAUGAUUUUUUCUCCUUUCUGAAGUACUUCCAUUGCUGUGUUCUGCCACACAAUGAUGCCAUCCAUGUACUGCAGGUGUUCUAGAGCUUCACCCUUUUCCAGUGCAGCCUGGAUCAGUCCAUGGCAGAUGGUAGGGCUGUGUUUCCACCCAUGCAGCAGGCAUUUCCAGGUGCACUGCACGCCACUCCAGGUGAAAGCAAACUGAGGCCUGCAUUCUGCUGCCAGAGGAAUGGAGAAAAAUGCAUUAGCAAUGCCAAUAGUGGCGUACCACUCUGCUGCCUUGGACUCCAGCUCGUAGUGGAAUUCCAGCAUGUCCGGCCCAGCAGCACUCAGUUGUGGAGUCGCUUCAUUCAAGGCAGGAGAGUCCACAGUCAAUCUCCAUUCUCUGUCAGAAUUGCACACAGGCCAGAUGGGGCUGUUGAAGGAUGAGUGGGCCUUACUGACCACCCCUUGGCUCUCAAGCUCACAGAUCUUUCUGUGGAUGGGGAUCACAGCAUCUGGAUUCAUUUGAUACUACCAGCGGUGCACCGUCAAGGUGGCAGUCGGCCCUUGUUGCUCUUCCACCUUCAGGAGUCCUAUUGCAGAUGGGUCUUUUCAUAGUCCAGGCAAGGUGUUCAACUGCUUCAUGUUCUCUGUCUCUACACCAGUUAUUCCAAAAGCCCGCCUCAGUCCCUUUGGGUCUUUGUAAAGCCAUUCCGAAGAAAGUCUAUGCCCAGAAUACAGGGGGCCUCUGGGCCACUCGCAAUAGGAAUUUCUGCCACUCCUUCCCAGUCAGGCUCACCUCAACUUCCAUCAGAGUCAAUUGGUGUGAUCCUCCAUCACCCCGGCAACGGAAACAGGUUCUGCCCCCACAUGUCCCAAUAGUGUCAGGGUACACUGUGCAUCAGUGUCAACUAACACUUCAAAGCCAUAUUUCUGUGGCUCUGAUGUGCCAGGUUAUCAAUCCACACUAUCCAAAAGACCCAGUUUUCCUGUGCCUCUUAUUGGCUAGAGGCAGGGCCCCUCUAGGCCUGGUUUUUACUUCUUUCCUGGGCAUACAUACUAGAGGUUCCUUCAAGGAGAUGUGACAGAUCAUACCUGGCAGCUUGGUCAAUGAAGGCUUUCACUUCAGUGGAACAUCACUUGCUUAAUGUUUACCUCCUUGAGCUGGUGCACCCAUGCUUCCAGGACAGAAGUGGGUUUUCCAUCCCACCAUUCCCAUGUCUUCCCCAUGGUCAUGCAGAAAAAACCACAGCUCAGCCCAUGGGCUGUACCCUCUCUCUCUGAGGAACAUUGGGCUCUGACUCUGGGGCCUGUGACUCGCACUGGUGCAAUGUGGGAACUGUUCUUCCUCACCUCCUCCCUCAUCUCCUUUAUGUCCUCUUGGAGACUCUUAACCACAGCAGAGACAUGAGCCUUCAUUGAGUCAUUGAUCACACUCUCACAAUUUCUAAGCUUGUUGGCAACAGAUCCCACUGUCUCUCGGUUGGUAUCUGCAUUAAUUGUUGCAGUGAAGGUGAUGUAUUGGGAUGGCCCUAGAUUUGCCAGACUCCACAGCAUUUGCCCUGUGCACCUGACCUUGUUGGGGUCAUUGUCAUGCUGUCCAUCCCUCCCAAAGAGUACCUCCAAUACUGCCAAUUCUCUCAGCUCUUGGAUCCCUUCCUCAAAGGUCUUCCAGCACAUUUUAUCAUGGUGCUCCUGCAUUUUCUGUCUGUGGACAAACCUCUCUCUGACACUCAUUAAAAGCUGCUCCCUGAGGGAAAGGGACCCUGGCUUACGAAAAACCUGAUUCACAGCUGAGUCCUGUGUCAAGGGUCCCAAAUUCUUUGCCUUACCACCAUCCAGUUGCACACCUGUACCCAUAAGGUCCCAGACCAGUAACCAGGUUGUGUAAGCCUCACGUUCCCAUUGUACAAUGUCUUUGUGCAGAUUAUGGAGACUUUCAUAUGUCGGGGACUCGGAGAUUGUUGUGGUGUGUUUUUAGCUUCCGGGUCCCUUCCUCAGGUGUGCCAAUAUUCCCUUCUCCCUUCCCCCUCGCCCCUUGCGGAGUGUGCCCUGUCAAUCAGGCUUAAUAUCCCAGCAAGGCGUCGUGUGGUUGGUCACUUUCAAAAGAUGCUCCUCAGGCCUGGGGGACAUUGGACCGUAUAGGUGUCCCUAGUCCCUUGAGACCCUGCCCCUUUCACCUGGUUGGUAGCUCACCUGUCCCCUCCCCUUCCCCUGUCCCUGAGCUUAAAAGGUUAAUGAGACCAUGCGGUGGCAUUCUGUUGAAGCAGUUGCCCCGGUUCAGACCUCUGUAACCAUGGAAUAAACAUCUGGAUAUAACCCUCCAGCAGAAUCCUCUCCUUUCUCUCUUCACCAUCGCCAGAAGCUCUCUCUCCUGAGGUAAACGGAGUUCCUGACAAGCCUGGACUUGUUCAGUGCCCUGCUGCAAUCUCCAGCAGCCAAGGUAUCUCUGGGGUGAUUUACACCACAGUGCCGCCUUUGGCCCAGCAGCGAAGGUCAGACUGGCCCAGGCACCAUCUAACUGGUAGUAUUAGGAUUCAUAUUCCGAUAGGAGAUGAUCUCAACCUGCUCCCCUGCAGGUUGUGGGGGCUCUCCUUUCUUAUACUUACCAUUAUCUGGGUGCUCUGAUUUCAUGUUAGACUUCCUCAUUUCCACAGGGGUGACUGCUGUUGUCUGGGGCUGCCCUUGUGGUACAGCUGGAACCUGGAUGGUUGUAAAUAUGUGGCUUCAGUGGCUGCACUAUCAGGCUCUCCCUCUUUGAGGCAGGGGGAGGGUUUCUCACCAGCUGGAGAAAUGUGCUCCUUCAGCAUCUGGCCCAUCUCCUUUACCAGAAACCCCACCCAAUCCGGGUGAUUAAUUUCUGGGGUGGGCUGUGGGGCAAGGUAAGGCUCUGGGGCAUCAGGGUGCUUAUCCAAGUCAAUCUUCCCUUAUCUCUGAAUGCUUAAUAGAAAAGGCAUAUCAGCAACACCUGCCCCUGUAUGAUAUCAUUAGCAUUUAGAGAAGAUUUGAAUUCUUUGAAAACUGGUGGGGCAGACCCAAAGAGCUGGGUGAAGGGUUGGGAGAAAAUUUCCCCUGGUGUCAUUUCUUCACAGUAAGUAUCAUUAUUAAAGUAACCCCAUAGCCAUACAGUUAGUGUAGGAUAGCUCUGAAUCCAUGUGCCCUCCUUCGAGAGGAAGAUAAAAAUCCAUUAAUUCUUCACCUUAUUAACCCAUAAAGCCACAGUAGCCUUAGUUAUAGGAUUCAUGUUUAGAUAAGGGCCUGCAAAUGGGAGAAAUAUAGCCAUGACCACAUGCCACCCAAAACAGAGUAAGCUGGGCCACAUGGUGCCACCUAACAAGAUAUCUAUAUCCAACACACAAAAAAUUAGGUUACUCAACAUUUUUUCUAUCUGUGCCCUCAGGCCCCAUAUUGGGCACCAGAAUCUGUCUUGGUUUGAAAAGAUAGAUGUAAGGAAGGUAGGAGCCUCCCUGAAAUGGAAAAUGUAAACCGCUUCCCUCCGAAUUAUUAUAAUUUUGAAAUUAAGAAGCUCUCAGGCAAAGAUAUGGGAAUAGAAAGAACAGGAAAUUUGAAAUGCAAAUGUAGUAAUACAAAAAAACCCACUGACAGCGUCAGAAUAUGACCUGAGACCCUGUUGGCCAGGGUGUUGGUCACACUCCAAUUAAAUGGUGGCUGCAAUCCUCCUGGAGGGGCAGAUGUUGUUCUGUUGAGGCAGUGAUCCUGCAGAAGGGUGUAGUUUUCCUCUGAAAGUCUAGUGGUGGUGUAGUCUGGUCUUCCUGGCCUUCCUCUGAAGAUCCAGUGGGAAAAGGCUGGCUGUGGUUUUCCACAUCUAACAUUAUAUCUAUCCAGUUAGGAAUGCUUGGCCCUACCCAUGAGUGGAGCAUCUCACAAUACGAUGAUUCAAUUUUAUCAGUCAUGUGGUGAGGCUCAAUGGCCCAUUAACAGAAGGUAUCUCCCCAGAAGGAGGAUUGGCCGUGGAAGAGGUAAAGAAAACUGCCCCAUCUGGUUUUAACAUCCUGGCCAUUAACAGAAGAUAUGCCCUCAGAGUUAUGAGGGAUGAGACAUGGAAAAGAUAAAGAACACCCCUUACCUGUGAGAGUCUGUCCGAAUUUUCCCUCAUCUGCCUCAUGAUUGUCAUUUGGGGACCACUGAAGAGAAGACCACCCCUGUCUGGAAUCUCUGGCUCUGAAGGAGAAAGUCACAUGCCAAAGGCCCUGAGACCUGGAGAGCACAGUGCUAAGUUACUGUCUUCACAGGUAUUUGCUGUAUGCUACACUGAGCCCAAAGAAGGGGGCUCUGUGCCCUUUUUGCAACAAUAGCCUUGGAAGCUGUCCCACCUCUCGGACUGGCUGGAAUUCUCCUGAGUUUGGGUGGUCUCCCACAGAGGACCCUCACCUGUUUUACAACCACCAUGACAGACAGACGGAGAUGUCAGAAGCCUCUCCACCAAGGACUGAGAUAUGAAACUCCUAACAGGCCCCUCUGCUCCUUCCAAGGACUGGGACUGAAACCCCCAGGCUGGGGAAGGUGUGUGGGGGAGGCAAGCUGACCAAAGAGAGAUGUUUACCUGCAGCAGGUGUGAGCACUGGACCAAGAAGACAAUGGCUCUCAUUUACUGCUGAGAACAUAGACUACCUGUUACAUCUAUUCCUUAUUGUGUCCAACCCCCCCCCAAUUUUCAAUAGAAUUAUCAUAAUAAAAACCUCUGAGUUAGCUAGAGAUUUUGAGAUCUCCCCAACGUAACAGGCAGAUCCUCAACUGGACUGGACCAAAGGACUUUGUCUCUACAUUUGGUAGCUAUAUCCCCCCCCCCCCUCUCUCUUUCCUCUCUAUCUUUUCUCUCCCUUAAUCCCUCUAUGGCAUUUUGCUGUAGUCAUUCAGUAAAGGUGCAUUUGUUUUGAUUAUCACUGCCAACCCCUUGUACCGUGUCGGUUCUUUUGCACCCUGAGAUCAAUCCAUGAACCAUCAUGAAACUGGUUCAUAAGGAUGGAUCGUGACACUACCUCCCAGUGAUAGAUAACAUACUUUUGGUCACAUCUGGCAUUGCAACCCAAGACAUGUUACAGUCGACACUGUGAGGUCACACAACCUGCCCUGUGAUGUCACAGCCCACUCUAGGAUGUCUCCUCUGUCACCUUGCAGCCCACUCUAUGAAGUCAUAUCACCAUGUGACAUCAUAACCUGCUCUAUGAUGUCAUACAAUUGAGCCAUCACAGCCUGCCCAGUGAAGUCACAUAGUGCCCUCUAUGAUGCUGUAGGUGCUUGAUGACCUCAUAUUACAGACUCUGUGAUGUCAUAGCCCCAUCUGUGACCUCACCCAACCCACCCUGUGCUGUCACACAGCCCCUUUCUGACAUCACAGCUGCUCUGUGCCUCUCUGACACAGCCGCAGAGGUGCCACUGUGGCACAGCCCCCUCUGGGACAUCCCACGGCCCUUGCCAGUGCUGAGCCCCUGUGAGCUCUGUCUGUGCCCUGCUGGUGCGGCCCAGCCCAGCUCAGCAGCACAGACACAGCACCAGGACUUUAAUGAGCCUCUGGGGCUUUGUGCUGAGGCCCUGAACAUCAGUCCCUGAGAGGGUGCUGAAGAAACCUCUAAAGAAUCCACAGUCGGAACCAAACUCCAAAGUUCCUGGUACCUUUAAUGGAUCCCACUGAGGGAUACAACUGAGAAAAUGUCCCCAGGCAGAGCAGAGAACUGGAGGCAGUGAUGACAGGUGGGGACAAAGAGAAGCCAAGUCUUGCUGCCCUGAGGCACAGCAGGGUCUGUGCCACCAAGGGCUGUGAGGAGACACCUUGUCCUGAGGCCCUGGGGCCUCCUGGCACAGCCCCAGCCAGGCUGGGCACUGUCAGCCCCUUGUCCUGCCCUCUGCAUCCCCCCUAGCCCACAUCCCAGUGGCCUCAAGGAUGUGCUGGAAGGAGUCCCUGGGGAGCCUUGCUCAGGAAUGGCCCUGUGGGGGCUUCCAGGGAGUGCACGUUCUUCAAAGGACUUUAGGUUGUGCUUUUGCAUUGGAUUUCUGAGAGGUUUGUGCAAUCAUGGCCUCCAAUUAUCUGAUGUAAUGAGUCCCUUAGGAUUCUUUGUCAGUAACAACACUCAGUGGGCUUAUUAAUGCUUCGAGAUACUUCCAUUUUUUCAAAGUACUUGGUGUUUUCCUUUUGAUACUGGUACCUUAAGUUUCAGCUUUCAUACUUUCCAGAUUCAGUACUGCAUUAGUAUAUAACUCUGAACUUCACAUACAGUGUUAGCAAGUUCUCUUCACAGUGUAGACAAAACAAUCUAACACUGUCUCGCCUCUGUUCCAGGUAGCCUCUUAAGGCAUCAAUACAGACUCAGUGAGAAGUUUGUGCAAUCAUGACCCCAGUUAUUUGCAUUAAUUAGUCCCUUGAGAGCUUUGUAUUGACACUAAGUGGGGCUCAUUAAUACUUUGAGAUAUGCAAGGUGUUUAAGGUGCUUUGGACUUUCUUUUCCACACUGAGUCUGUGAGAGGUUUUUGUGCAAUCCUGGUCUCCAAUUCUCUCCUCCAAGGAGUCCAUGAGGAGCCUGUGUUGGGGAUGGACCUCAGUGGGACCCAUUAAUGCCUUGAGACACUUUGGGAUUUUUUUCUGACUGACUCCAAAGGUUUGUGCAAUCUCCUCUUAGGCUCUGAGAUUCCAGGGCUCAGCACUAAAUGCACCACAGGGUUCAUUAGGAUCAAGGCAGUCCUGACAAAGCAUGGCUCUGCCUUGAUUUCCCUCUGAUCUGGUGCCAUUCAUUAGGAAGGUUUUCCUACUGCAGUAAUGGAGAAAUACUUCAAAGUGCUUCUAAAAAAUAUGAGUUCCUAUUUUAAAGAUUGUUUUUUAUUAAGUUUCUCUUUAGAGAAGAGUUGAUUGCAGCAUUCAGUGACGGCUAUUGACCCAGGAACUUUCCUCAGGCGGUCAGGCCUGGUCAGAGGAGCUGUGCAUUGAGGCCUGACCCAGUGUGGACAACCUUGCUCAACAUUCCCAACCCCAUCCUGUCUCUCCUCACUCGCCUGGGACCUGUUUUGCUUGGAGAACUGGCUACACUCAGGCAAAUAAGGGAUUGGUUUUUUUGAAGCAAUCAAAAAUUCCUGAGUUUACUCAUUGAAAAAUGAGGAAAGACACCCUCAAGUAUGUGCCAAGCCCAAGCUGCCACCAAGGACAUUCCCUUUCCCCAAGACAGAGCUCUGCAAGAAAUGUUUUAUUCCUUUGGAUUCUUUGGUUCCAUGAGGCCAUGCUGUGUCACAAUGGACCCUCAGUUGCAUGGGGCUGCACGGUGUCACUUUGGCCCUGAUAUAGGCUUAAACAGAUUAUAGUCAGCUGUGUAAUCAAGGGUUAAACAAACUGUAGUUUACAGUGUAAUCAAAAAAAGGUUGUCCUUUUCCUAUACUGCUGUAUAAUCAAGAGCAGAUGGUCUUCUUUCCUAUACUUUAAGGGGAUCCUCUAUACCCUAAGGGAAUAUAGUUUAUUGUUUAAGACUAAACAAGUGCUCAAAAAAAUGGUAGAAACUGGAUCUGUGUUUCAGACCAUGGCCAGAAGCCUUGGAGAAUGGCCAAAUGUGAAGAGAGUCUGCACAAAGACCAGGUUCAUUCAAAGGGCAUACUAGGAAGACUGCUUACUUUAUCCCAUGACCACUGCCCAGAAGACCCCCAAAAAGCAAUGUGUCUUAGUUUGGAAAGACAGGUGUCCGCUAAGGAGGAAGGAGCCUCCCCUGAAAUGGAAAAAUGUAAACCCCCUCCCACCAAAUUGUUAUAAAUUUGAAAUUAAGGGGCUGUCAGGCAAAAAUAUGGGAGCAGGAAUAACAGUUCUUUAUUAGGGAAGAAAAUAAAAAGAUAAACAAUGCAGCAGACCAAAACGAUACUGAUAGAGUCAGAACACAACCUGACACCCUGUUGGUCAAGGUGUUGGCAGCAGUCCCAUUGGAAUUGUGGCUGCAGUCCCCCUGGAGUGUCAGGUGUGGUUCUGUUGGAGCAGGGAUCCUGUAGAAGGGUGUAGUCUUCCUCUGAAGAUCCAGUGGAGAAAGCUGUGCUGGUGUUCCAGAAACUCCAGAUUAUAUCCAACUAGGAAUGCUUGGCUCCUCCCUCCGGGCAGAGCAUCUCACAAUGGGAUGCUGUAGUUCUUAUCAGUCAUGCAAUGACUAUCAAUAGCCUAUCAUCAGCAGAUGUCUCCCUGGUUGUGGAAGGGAUAAGGAAAACUGCCCACUUAACAGAAGACAAGUGCCAUACAGAUGGCAAAUAGAAUACAAUUUGCUUGGCAAUCCAGGACACAGUGCUAAGAGUGUGGAGGCGCAGAACAAUAAAAACUGAUUAACAUACAAAGUGAGAGUAGGCGGGGAUAGGUUAUGGAUAUGUACAGGCGAUGACAAAUAUGUAUGAGCUUAAGAGUAUUUGAUACAGAGCAUCUGCUCUGCUGGACACACACAGCUUUGAUGAAGUGAUUCCCUGUGUGUCCAGCGCUGAACAAACAAACUUCUACUUCACUAAUCUGCUGGUUGUGGAGUCUUUAUUUCUACAUGUCAGUUGGUGAGCCAGUCAGGAGUCUCUCUGCUCGUCUGCAGGACUGACUGGAGGAUGAUGUCCUAGGCACACCCCGAGCCCUUUUCUUGGAGUAACUCCUUCCCCAGCUGCUCACUGCAGGAGCAGGGAAGAACCUUCUGUGGUUGCAAAGAGCAUGUUUGACAAAGGCGGGGCCAGUAAGUUGUAGGGGAUGCUGGUGCCUGGCCAGGGGCUGCUGGUAAAACACUCAGAGACAUCUGGUGUACGGCAUAGUCCCUGUUUAGGAGGAGGGUGCCAUGAAUUUUCGGAGGAGGGUGCCCUGGGAUUUGCUGACUGAUAGAGCUAGCAAUCUUGAGUGCAGAUCAAGCAAAUCCAGGGUUACUGCUGCAUCCCAGCAUCAGGAGCCAGGAUGGACCUGCUAAUGACUGAAGCAAGAAAAGGGUAAGCAGACCCUUUUAAAUGAUUACUUGGAUUAUACUUACAGCUGCUGGAGGGGUAUUAAGUGGAAUAAUAAUUGGAUGUUAAAUUUGUAAAUGCCUGGGUAUUUUAUGUUAAGUACUUAAAACAUUCCGUGUUGGUUUUUUUUUUUGUGUGUGGGUGGGUGUGUGUGAGUGUGUGUGUGUGGGUGUGUGUGUUUGAGAUGCAGCAUCACUGCAAAGCAAGAGGGAGUUCUGAUCUGCAGUUCUGUGACCCUGCAAGGGGCAUGGUCAGUGAUGGACAAAGUGCUUAAAAUGUUUUGUAUGGUACGUCCAGUACUGCAAACAGUUUGUUUACUUAAAACAUCGGCAAACUGUGGAUCCAAGUUCUAACCAAGAAUAUAUUAAGCAAGCUUUGAAACUAGUGAAUGUGUAUCUGUGUAUGUGACAGGCUGUUUUGAUGGCCAGAAAUAGGAUAGCUAGGAAAAUAACUGGGAUAAGACUAUAAGAAAGUGUACAAAGAAGUUCUAUGGAAACUAGGGGCAAGAAGCCCCAAAGGGAACAGAAGGAAUGGGGAAAGGCCAGAGUAAAGAGGUCCAGUGAAAAACCCCUUUAGGCUGCAUAUUAGUGCACUGGAAACAUAUAGUUGGCUCAGGAGAGACAGAAAAUAAAAGGACUCUUAUUAAAUAUUGCAACCAUUGGUGGCUGUUGUAUAGAUUAGAGAAUGAGGCUGAAUAGCCCCUUAACAGAACUAUAGACUAUAACAUUACUUUGCAGUUAAUUCUGUUCUUAAGGAGAGAGGAAAAAUGGGAUAAAACAUCAAAUGCAGGUAUGUUUUUUACCCUCUGAAACCACCCACAGUGGCAGAGAGACUGUGCCACCACAAGAUUGUCUUGUACUUGCCCUUGAGAAGGAAAAACACAAAGACCUCAAAGGUAAAUUAAAGCGAUGUUGCUCAGCAUGCGAAAUUGGCCAGCAGUACUCUAGAAGAGAUAAAAUUCAUCAGGCACCAGAACAGGAUCUAACUGAUUUGUUUAAGCCUCCUCCACGAUCACAGGAACAGAUGCAGACUCAGACAGAACCCUCACUCCCUCAGAUAGUCCUGUGUCUUCCCACACCAGAAAAAAUCAGCUCCAGAGGUGGUGCAGGCACCUCUCUGGGAGGCAGUAGGGCCUGAGGGAGGGACACUGCUGAUUAAGGCACCUUUUUCUAUCACCAAUUUAGAGGCAUGGAAAAAGUUGCUAAAGAUUAUCAGAAAGACCCACUAAGUGCAUCCAAACACUUCCAGUUUAUAGUAAAGCAACACAAUCCUGAUUGGAAUGACACAGUUAUUGUUAGAAUAUAUUACUGAAACAGAAGAGCAAUUAAUUCUAAAAACUACAGGGGAUUUGGCUGAUGAUUAUUAUAAAACCAAGGGGGAAGACAUUAUAGAAUACUUCCCCUUCCAAGACCCAAAAUGGGUUGUGAACAGGUCUGCACACAUAGAAAAAUUACAGGCAUACCAGGGGUGAAUCUCAAAAGGAAUGUAAAGGGCCAUUCAUAAAACCAUAAAUUGGUCCAUAUGAUACAUAAUCAAACAAGGUUCCUCUGAAUCACCAUCUGAAUUCCUGGAUCACCUGAGGGACAUGAUGCGCCAUAACACACUGCUGGAUCCUGGGUCAGAGGUAGGAACACAAUAACUUGUUUCUUUGUUUCUGGGCAAGUCUAGAGGAGAUAUUAGGCGCAAGCUGCAAAAGCUGCAUCCUACAGACAGCAGGAAUAUAUAAGUAAGUGUUGCUGGAUGAAGCAUGGAGAGUUUUUAGUAACAGGGAAGAAAAGUACAAGUGGGGACAUGGAAGGGUGGUGGCGGUCACCAGGGAGGAGGGAGAAAGGAAAUGGAGACUGCCCUGACUAUGCAAGGACCAAUGUGUGUUAUGCAAAAGGUUUGACCACUGUAAAAAUGAAUGUCCAGAAAAAUCCAAGUAUAAGGAGAUAGUACAGAAUAACCAGAAAAGGAGGAUAGUGGCCCCUGUAGAAGAAGACUGACCAGGACCUGGGGAAUCCACCCUAGUGGAUCCACUGAUUGUAAUGAAGCUAGGGAAAAAACAAAAGAAAGUAGAAUUUUUGGUCAACACAGGGGCAAUGUAUCUGGUUUUGAACCAAGAUUUGAUGCCCCUGGUAAAUUAUUAUAUCUUGGUAAAAGGUGCAACUCGUCAAAGUGAAAAGGUGUACUUUUGUGAACCUCUGAGAUACAAACUGGAAAAACAAUGGGGCAUUCACAAAUUUCUGUAUAUGCCUAACUCUCUGAAGGGAGUUUUUUGGAAGAGAUUUAUUAGAGCAAUUUGAGGCAGUAAUUAAAUUUGAAAAAGGAAAGAUUACUCCAGAGGUAAAUGACCAGCACUAUAUACAAAUAAUGAGCUUAUCCCUAGCUAGUGUUUCUACAGAAAACAAAACCAGCAAAGAAAUCACAGACCAGGUAUAUCCCAGGGUAUGGGCCACUGAUGUGGCCCAGAGAGCAAAGAAUGUUCUGCCCACCAAAGUCAAACUUAAAGAGGGAUGGCAGCUAGUAAGAAUCAAACAGUACCCCCUGAAAAGGGAAGACCAGGAAGGAAUUUGGCCAGUGAUAGAAAAAUUUUUACAACUAGAAUUGUAAAGGAGUGCGAGUCUGAUUUUAUUACCCCCAUAUUACCUGCCCAUAAACCUGACAGGUUGCAUUGAGUGGUGCAGGACUUAUGAGCUGUAAAUAAAAUAACUGAGGACCUCUAUCCAGUGGUGGCAAACCCAUAUGCCUUGUUGAUUGUAUUGACAUCUGAACUAGCCUGGUUUACUAUUUUAGACCUGAAGGAUGCCUUCUUUUGCUUCCCUCUCCAUAAAGCCAGCCAAAAUAUAUUUGCAUUAGAAUGGGAAAACCCCAAAAGUGGGUGUAAAACCCGGCUUACUCGGACUGUAUUACCCCAAGGAUUCAAGAACAGCCCCACUAUAUUCAGCAAUCAAUAAGCAAAAGAUCUUGAGUCCUGGGAGGCUCCAUCAGAAGAAGGGAAGCUGUUACAAUAUGUAGAUGAUAUCCUGAUUGCCACCAAAAAAAAGGACCCUAGCCUGACCUGGAUGGUGAGUCUGCUUAACUUCUUGGUACUGGUUAUCUAAGAAGAAGGCCCGAGUAAUGCAGCAGGAGGUAAUUUAUCUAGGAUAUGAGAUUAGUACUGGACAAAGAACUCUAAGAUGAACCCAAAAACAGUCAAUAUGCCAAAUGCCAAGGCCACAAAGAGUGAAAGAAUUACAAACCUUUUUGGGGUGGUGGUGGCUGUGGAUCUACAACUAUGGACUGCUGAUUAAACCCCUAUAUGUGCUGACAGCCACUGAAUGAAAGAACCUUCAAUGGAACAAGGGAGCUACACAAGACUAUCAGUCACUGAAAAAGGCUCUGAUGUCAGCUCCAGCCUUGGGACUCCAGAUAAAUACAGAGGAACCAGCACAUCGUGACUGUCUGGAAACCACCAAAGUGACAUAUUUAAGCUGUCCAGACCUGAAACAUAGUCCUGUGGAGAAUACGGAAAACUGGUUCACAGAUGGAAGCAGUGUCCUGGGGUGACGUUAUGAUGCUUGUAUAUCCCCAUUCAUCUGUUCUGUGCCUUUAAGACCGGCUCUGAAGAGUGGAAGUUUUGUUUGGGUUUCUCUUAUCAGGACACAGAGACAAGCAGUACACAGAGCUGUUUUUUUUACUUCCAGCUUUGGGCUUGCUGCUUUUGCUUGCUGCUUUUGCUUGCUCUCUUUUUCUGCUCUUGCUUCUGCUCUGCUUUCUGCCUCUGCUUAUUAGCUAGUUCUAGCUAAACAGUCCACAUUGCUUCCUGGACUGUUUCUCCUCUCCUGUUCCUGUGACCAUCUCGAACCUGCUCCGGACUGGGACCCGGGAACACCAAGGGUUCGGCUGCAGCGGCUGGCCCAGCGCCGGAGGGACUGAGAACAGAGCAACCACCCCCGAAAGAGACUUUCUGAUUUUGCCAUCUUUCUCAGAGCGGUGUCAUCGGGUAUUGUUCAUUUUGUGUGCUGGGGGGUGCUGUGUCUGUCAAAUAAACAGGUUCUUUCCA